GGGCAUUUAGGUUGCUUCCACGUCUUGGCUGUUGUAAAUAUGCUGCAGUGAACAUUGGGGUGCACAGGACUUUUCAUUGUGGCUCUCUUGAUGGCAUUAUGCAGACUCUCAUUCCUGAGGACAUCAGCCCUGGUCACCAUUCCCUUCAGACUCGAGUUGAUGUAAUUCCAUUACCAUCACAGCUGGUCAAGGACGUCCCAAGGAGCACCUCAGUGGAUCACCCGAAUCCACUCCUGUGCCUCCCCCACCCUGUUGUGUAACAGCUGCCCUGCCUGCUCCUCCUCAUGCGUCAAAUGCCCUGCAAGGACGGUGACACCUCCCCUGACCUGCUGGCCCCUAGACACGGGGAGCACAGUUCCCAUGUCCUAUCUGUAGCUUACAAUUAAGUCCCUUGGUGAAAAGUGUGUCCCCGUUGGGGAUGAAGACCUCUAACUCCACUGAGCCCACAGUUGUGGAUACAGGAAGCACACAAUGCCAUGGAGGGUCGUUGGUAAUGGCGGUUGGUGACGCCAUUCCUGCUUCCACACAGUGGUCCCUAGACCCGUGUAUCCUUCCAUCUUGGGGACACAGCACCAUGUAAAGGUCUUUCAUCUAGUACAUAUGCUGCAUCUGAAAGAUGGCACCCUUUUCUGAGGACGUUGCUUCUGAGCUGGGGCUUCAGCUGUGCUGUCACUAGGCCAUUCCAAUGCUCUCUUGCACCAGCAGCUGCUGUAAGGAAAAAAGAUCAGAGAAGGUUUGCAUUAACACGGAGCAGACAUUAUACUCUCACAGUGUUACCCGAGGGCUGUCGUGGUACAGUCUGAAGAGACACAGACUAUUGGACCUUCCACCGAACAUCACAGUGACCCAUCACAGCAGUGAAAUCACUCUGGUCAAGCAGGAUGAGCAAGAGGUGGCUGGCACGUUGGAGACCCUGACACCCUACAUGUGUUCCAGGGGAUGGGCAACAAGCCCUGUAAAGGUUUAGCAACUUACCACAAGAGGUAGCACAUGGUUCCGAUUUUUGCAUUAUAUAUUUCCUUUAUAUAUUAUUUAGGAAGUUUUGGUAGGCUGUUUCUCUAGUUAUUUAUAUAUUUAUUGACUUCAAAUUAUACAUGUUUUCUUAUUAAUUUUGGAAUAUUUUCUGUAACUAGUUAUGUUGAAUUUUUCAUUAUAAUAUUUAUUGGUACAUUCUGUUUUAUUCUUUCAUCUUGGCAGAAGUUUGUCUAUUAGCUUUUACAGUGAACAAGAUGAUGAUUUUGUUGAUCUGUCAGUAUCAUUGUUUCUGUUUAGUUGAUUAGCUGAAAGCUGGACUUGACAGAGGCCAUUACUAAGAUGUCAGAAAUUCCUUGGUAUAAUAUAGAAAUUUAAGGAAAUAUGAUUGUUGAUAUAGAUUUGUCAUGAGUAAUCCACUCACCAAUUCCCUCAAUUUUGACCUCCAAGAGGGGCCAGAAGACACUUCUUUUACCAGGGCAUUGAGAAAUUCCUGGGUGAGGGGAUCACCAGCAUCCUGUAAAAAUGUGCUUAUGGGGGCUGGCCCUGUGGCACAGUGGUUAAGUUCCAUGCACUCUGCUUCAGAGGCCUGGGUUCACAGGUUCAGAUCCCAGAUGCAGACCUACACCACUCGUCAGCCAUGCUGUGGAGGUGUCCCACGUACAAAGUCAAGGAAGACUGGCACAGAUGUUAGCUCAGGGCAAAUCUUCCUCACACAUGUACAAAAAAUACAGGAACUGGAUCUUCUUGAGGAUAGACCCUGUAAUUGGCUCACUACUGUAAAACUUAGGAACCACCCACAGGCCAUUUUACCACUCUGUCAGGCUGACUGCUUCUGAGUAAGCAAAUAAAUGUUAAUACCAGUGGUCUUAACCACGAUCACGAUCCCAUUGUUACGCUUUCUUUGCCUUAAAAUGGGUCAUUGGACCUGAAGCUAGCUGACACGCAUGGGAUGACUCGCACUGUCCUCCGUGUGCUUUCCCUCCUCUUCUCGGUGUUACUGUGAGACGUGAGAGUCCACGCACUUUAUGUCCACCACCAACAUACAGAGUUCAACCACAUCACCUUCUCCUCAAACUUCCUUGUCCCUGAUGUUCCAGUUUUGUUUCCAUCAGGAGCCUAACAAGCAGCCAAGUCAGUUACCUUACUAACUUGACAGUUAGUGUCUAUUCACAUUUCCAGCCAUCCCAGCUUCCAUAUGAAGUAAAUUCCCAAGGGUACCUCGCUGUGACUACUGGGAAAGUUUCCCUCUGACUGUCCUUUAGGGUCUUCACAAAAUGAGGGGCUAACAUGUAUCAGCGGUCCUUUCCGGAUGGCGCUGAUGCUUUUGUGAACUGGGCCUGAGUUGUUUCCUGUGCUGCCGGGUGGUCGUAGGGAAGCCCAGGAGGCCUAACUGCCUGCUGAAGGGAAGGCCGCAGGCAUCUGGACUCCCGUUCACACUUCACUCAGGCUCUCUGGGCUUUCCAAGGCCUGAUCCCAGAACAGGGAGUCGCAGCAGCAGUCAGUGAGCCUGAUGAGACGUCUCGUGACGGCUCACAGCAGCCACGUGCCACGUGGUGGGCCAGUGUUCCGUGUCUGAGGGGCCUGCAGUGUGCCAGAAUCCAUUUUUCAAAUGUGUCCUCUGCCACAGAAGCCAGGGCCUCACUACAGAAUCCCAGAACCCUCUAGCUCUGCCAGAGGUUGAAGUGGACUCCACGCGGCAUCCUUACCUGCCUCAGAGGCGUCUCCCUCAGCCGUCUGCUGCACCGUGUGGCCUUGCGUGUGGGAUAUCCUGCACGCGCCCUGGGCCUGCUGCAGAGCCCAAAACUGGAAGCCUUCCAAGCUACCCAAGAAAUUGGUCAGAGAGGAAUUUCCAUACUGUGCGUUCCAUACUGCCUUCCAAAUGCAGAGAGGUCCACCAAGCCGUGUACCUCUUUCUGGUGUGGGGUGUGAAUUUUAAUAACUUGUCCCUUACCUUGGAGGGAUGUCCUAGCAUUCCUCAGUUCACUAAACUUCUAAACAUGUCACUGUUACGAGGCCCCUAAAUUUUUGCGGGGUUCACCUCGCACCUUCUGGCACAUGUGUGUGUUAUCCUGGUGCUUGCUGCUGCUUGCACAGCAGUUACAGACCCGUCCUCCACAGGGCCCAGGCCCCAGGCCAGCAUCUCUGACCAAUUUCUGCCUGCUAUGGGGUUAUGCCUGCUGGUGACAGAUUCUUACUUUUCCUUCAUCUGAAGGUCAUCAUCGGGACGUCUCUGUUUCUCCUUCAUUUCUGAAGAGUAUUUUUGCUAGAUAGAGAAUUAAGCAUUUACAGUUUUUUUUUCAGCACUUGGAAAAUGUGUCACCUCAUUCUGGCCUCCAUGGUUUCAGAUGAGAAAUCCACUGUCACUUAAUUGUUCCCCUAUAGGGAAUGUAUUGUUUCUCUCUUCAAAUCGAACAGUCACAAUUGAAUUUCUAAUGAAUUUUGUAUAGGGAAUUUGACAGUAUUAUUCUAAAAUUUAUCUAGAAAGGCAAACUCAUAAGAAUAACCUAGAAAAAUUAGAGAAGAAAGAAUAAGAGGGGUCAUGCCCUACCAGAAAGCUAUAGUAAUUAAAACAGUGUGAUACUGGUACAUGGAUAGAUCAGAUUAGUGGGACAAAACAGAGGACACUGAAAGAGACCCCAAUCUAAGGGAAUUUAGUAUUAGAAAAGUAUAGGAUACAUUUUAAAACUUGGUAUGUGGAUACCCUCUCUAAACAAGAGAAGUUCAAAAGCCAAAUGGGAAAAGACUGAUAGAUUUGACUGAAUAAAAAUUUCAAAGCACACACCUGCACCACUGCACUGCAUACAAAAGGAAAAUACAUUCCGAGGGAAAAAAUGACUUGUGAGAAUAUGCUGUAUCUGCAACAGUUAUAUUUAUAGAGACAGAAAAUCCCAUCACACAAAGAGCCCCUUCAAAUCACUCAUAAAGAUACAGGGAUCCUAAUAGGAAAAUGAGCAAAGGGUAUGAACAGGUAUUUCACAGAAGAUAAAUAAGAACUAGUCAAUAAGCAAAGUUACUUAUUCUCACACAAAGUAAGUUAAAACAAGUUUUUUAACUCACCAUAUGACAAAAAUUAAAUUUUGAUACUAUCCAUUGGUCAUUCAGUGAAUAAAUUCGUUGAACCCUUGCUCUGUGUCAAGCAUAUGCUAGUUAAGGGCAUAAUGACAAGCAGAACAGUCAGUCUCUGGACUCAGUGCUUUUAGUCUAGUGAGGGUGACAAUUACUAACAAAAUACACAGAUGCCCAUAUAUAAUUACAAACAUAAUUGCAAAUUAUGUAAACACUAGAGAGAGUUAAGUAUAGAAAUCAGUGAGAGUGCACAAUCAAAUGGACCUUACUCAGAGAUCACAAUGGGAUCAGCGAACACUGCUCUGAGGAAGAGUUGUCUGAGAUGAAAUAUAAAGGAUGAAAUCAAAUGAACGAAUGAAAUUAUGGUGUGAAGGGACCGAUAGCCUUUUCAGGUAGAGCAAAUUAACAUGCUCAAAGGUCCUGAGAUGUGUGGCUUUUGGGGAAAGGAGGUUAGCACAGUCAGAGGAGAGUAAUGUAAGAGCUUGAACAGACAGAUGCAGCGUCGUGGACCAUGUUAAGGACUUUGCCUUUACUUCAGGGCAAUCAAAGGCCAUCAAAUUGUGUUAAGCAGAGGAAUAUGUUUGUAAGUGGUUUUAUAAACAUCAGGCUGAAUUGCGUGUGAAUAAAAGAUUUGGGGAAAUGGAUGUGGUGAAGUUAUAGCAAGAUUCCAAGUGAGAAAAAAAUAGUUUGAACAAGAUUAGUAGUUAAGAUUAAACAGGAUACAUGUCAAUCUCAUCAUGUCCCAAAAUAAACUCGUUUCUUCUCUCCUAAA
Equus caballus (horse) is the source of this 4813-nucleotide non-coding RNA. Lineage: Eukaryota; Metazoa; Chordata; Mammalia; Perissodactyla; Equidae. The record is from RefSeq and is a predicted model, not a curated record.